CAGCAGCCACGGGAAUACGUAGGUGGCAAGCGUUGUCCGGAAUUAUUGGGCGUAAAGGGCUCGCAGGCGGUUUCUUACGUCUGAUGUGAAAGCCCCCGGCUCAACCGGGGAGGGUCAUUGGAAACUGGGAAACUUGAGUGCAGAAGAGGAGAGUGGAAUUCCACGUGUAGCGGUGAAAUGCGUAGGGAUGUGGAGGAACACCAGUGGCGAAGGCGACUCUCUGGUCUGUAACUGACGCUGAGGAGCGAAAGCGUGGGGAGCGAACAGGAUUAGAUACCCCCGUAGUCCCUGUCUCUUAUAU
RNAcentral lists this ribosomal RNA (301 nucleotides) under uncultured bacterium. RNAcentral describes it as "partial 16S ribosomal RNA". It matches the Rfam family "Bacterial small subunit ribosomal RNA", at positions 509 to 809 of the family's 1533-position model. The record is from RNAcentral.